CCUACGGGAGGCAGCAGUGGGGAAUAUUGCACAAUGGGCGAAAGCCUGAUGCAGCGACGCCGCGUGAGGGAUGGCGGCCUUCGGGUUGUAAACCUCUUUCAGCAGGGAAGAAGCGAAAGUGACGGUACCUGCAGAAGAAGCGCCGGCUAACUACGUGCCAGCAGCCGCGGUAAUACGUAGGGCGCAAGCGUUGUCCGGAAUUAUUGGGCGUAAAGAGCUCGUAGGCGGCUUGUCACGUCGGGUGUGAAAGCCCGGGGCUUAACCCCGGGUCUGCAUUCGAUACGGGCUAGCUAGAGUGUGGUAGGGGAGAUCGGAAUUCCUGGUGUAGCGGUGAAAUGCGCAGAUAUCAGGAGGAACACCGGUGGCGAAGGCGGAUCUCUGGGCCAUUACUGACGCUGAGGAGCGAAAGCGUGGGGAGCGAACAGGAUUAGAUACCCUGGUAGUCCACGCCGUAAACGGUGGGAACUAGGUGUUGGCGACAUUCCACGUCGUCGGUGCNGCAGCUAACGCAUUAAGUUCCCCGCCUGGGGAGUACGGGCGCANGGCUAAAACUCAAAGGAAUUGACGG
RNAcentral lists this ribosomal RNA (568 nucleotides) under uncultured Streptomyces sp. RNAcentral's name for it is "bacterial SSU rRNA". It matches the Rfam family "Bacterial small subunit ribosomal RNA", at positions 338 to 916 of the family's 1533-position model. The record is from RNAcentral. Lineage: Bacteria; Bacillati; Actinomycetota; Actinomycetes; Kitasatosporales; Streptomycetaceae.